RNAcentral lists this transfer RNA (52 nucleotides) under Cycas rumphii. RNAcentral describes it as "partial tRNA-Leu". The record is from RNAcentral. Lineage: Eukaryota; Viridiplantae; Streptophyta; Cycadopsida; Cycadales; Cycadaceae.
GGAAAAUCCGUCGGCUUUAUAGACCGUGAGAGUUCAAAUCUCUCUAUCCCCC